Triticum aestivum (bread wheat) is the source of this 1517-nucleotide long non-coding RNA. RefSeq lists it as uncharacterized. The transcript is spliced from 4 exons. The record is from RefSeq and is a predicted model, not a curated record. NCBI's taxonomy places the organism in Eukaryota, Viridiplantae, Streptophyta, Magnoliopsida, Poales, Poaceae.
CAAAAAAAAAACAGAAAGCUUAAGCAGAGCAGAAGGCCACAACUCAGAGCAAUGGGUGCUUAAGCGUAAGCGCGUUUAAGCAUUUUUUUAAAUUGGCCAGAAUUUGACUGUUUCUGAGUAACAUGCAAGGAAAAUAGGGAACUUCUCUCUCUUCUACUGAUGCAGUAGCACCAUCAUCAUUACUAGCAUUAUCUCCUUUGUAAAUUGGAGUUGUUAUUUUUUCUUGGAAGUGAAGUUAUUACCUUUGUUUCUUUUAAUGCCAUGUUAAACCUGAUGCACCUUCUAGCCCUUGAUGUCUUUGUUAGUAAGUGUAGUCCAUAUUUUUUGCAAAUGAUGUCUCCAUCGGGUAUGAGUGUUUUCUUUUGCCAUUUGCCAAUUAUACUUGCCCCCUUUUGCUACUCAAAUGCCAAUGAUGAAUUAAAAAAAUAAGAUGCACUGGAUAUGGGUCUAUACAGUACCUAAAGGAUGUAAUAGUUUUCCAUUGGUUCAAAGUGAUGUGAUUAUAUUGUGAUUUUCAGAAUUGCUACUCCAAUUUUGUUUACCAUUCAUAGAACAACACUCUGCCGGUCUUGCUAUUCGCCAUUUUCCUCCCCACUAUAGUGCUGCCACUCAGUGAUGCCUCGGCAAGAAGACCAAUCGCAGGGAGAUGUGCCAUGGCAUGUCCUGAAGAGGCAAUCAGAUAUUUUGGUGGCCUCAAGCCCUCAACCCUCUGGAUCAUCCGUCUGUUGUGCGUGCUCUCAUUUGGGUUGCCGAGGGACACCUCCUCCUGUGGCGCUCCUGUCCAAUUUUUUGUUUAUGUAAAAAAUUCUUACCAUCGCCUCACCUAUUUGGACAAUUAGCUUCAGGUAACUGCUUUAUGUGGAAAUAUGCCAAUGGAUAAUAUCCUCCAGAUUAACAAGUUCAUGUGUGCUGCUCUUAUUAUCUACCUGGUAGUCUCGUCUGACACUUGUAUUAAUGGCUUUUUCCUCUGGAGUACCAAGAAAAAUAGCAGUAUUACUUAGGGUUUGUUUGUUUGGGCUGCCAUUUCCAUGGCUGCAGCUGAAGGAGCGGCUGUAGCUGUUAAUGAAGAGAGGCACUUUGCAUUUGUCCACCAGAAGUAUAGAUCGGUAAAGUACAGAGAAGCUUCAGAGCAUGGUAGCAUUGUUUAUGAGAAGAAUCCACGACGGACUGAUAACCUACUUCUUCUUGGAGUUAUCUACUGUCAGUUUAAGACUUGGUGCUAGCCGGAGCUUCUAUUUUCUACCAAAACUACUAUUAACAAAAGAACUCUAGCGAUCCAGGAUUUUAUCCUAAGCUGCUAUUAAACUCACAAGAGGGAGUUAAUAACAAAAUAACUCUAGCCAUGCUUUUUGAUAUACUACGCAUAUGUAUGAUGUACUAGCAGUUCCUAUUUUUUAACUACUGUGUACCAGAGAAUUGAAUUGGCUAUGUCUGCAUAAAUAUGAUGUAUUAUAUUAUGUCAUGAGAGGGAUUUCUUCAUUUUCAAAACUAAGUUGGAUGAGCUUAAAGCACUUAUU